RNAcentral lists this long non-coding RNA (3337 nucleotides) under Nicotiana tabacum (common tobacco). Its description in RNAcentral is "long non-coding RNA (NTAB_LNC004131)". Lineage: Eukaryota; Viridiplantae; Streptophyta; Magnoliopsida; Solanales; Solanaceae. The record is from RNAcentral.
AAAAAUUCAACAAUUGAAUGCAAUUUUUAUUAUUUCAUCUUUCCCUCCCUUUUUUUUUCACAAUAAUCACCCAUUCCCUCCAAAUAGUUUCCAUGUAAAUUAAAUAGAUUCAAUUAAAGAAGAAAAUAAGAAAUAGGGCUUUAUCUCUCUCGACCGCGCCGCUGCCAAUCACAUCUUUCUCAGAUCAUCACCGACUGCCAUCCCAUGGUAACCCAACUCGUCUCUCUCACUCUCUCAGUCGCACUUACACAUGCUCUCUCUCUCUCUCUCUNUCANCUCAUNUCAUNACUAUNUACAUCCAUGUANNNNNNNNNNNNNNNNNNNNNNNNNNCGUUCCUCACUCUCACUCUCUCCAUCUCUCUCUCUCUCUCUCUCUCUCUCUCUCUCUCUCUCUCUCUCUCUCUCUCUCUCUCUCUCUCUCUCUCUCUCUCUCUCUCUCUCUCUCUUGAUCUAUUGCUUUUAUAUUAUGGGUUUGAUUAGAUAAGAUUUGAUGAGAAUGUAAAGAAACUUGGAGAAGAAAAUUGGAAUGCAAUUUAUUGAUGAGAUGUAGAAAAGAGUAUUUGCAAUGUGCUAAUGUGAUAUUUUAUUUUUCUAGAAAAUUUAGUUUUUGAAAUGUCUAAUUGUUGAGGCUUGAUGGGUCCCAAAAUGUAGAGAAUGGAGAUGAAUUUGGAGUUAUGAAGGGUGUUUCAAAUGAUUUUUUCGGUUAAUUAGAAAGAAGAAAUCAAACUAAAAAGGUUAUUCAGAGAUGGAACUUUUGAAACAAUGGUUUCGUGAAAUGUAAGGUUAUAUCGUAAGUUAAGUUGUCUAAUUUUGAUUUGCAAGGCAACCUGAUUAUAGAUUUACUAAACAACAGAGAUUUGAGCAUUAGUCACAAGGUCUAGUUAUGAACACAUAUUAGUUUACUGAAAUCAGGAAAUUGAAAAUUUUGUUCAUAUGUUAAAGUUUUUUCAUGACUUUGCUCAGCAGAGCCUGGUGGAUAUUUCAUUCCACUUGUUUCAAAUUAGAACAUCUUUACUAAUUCUCUUGGAACAUCCCUAGUCACUAUGACCUGAUAAAUAACUUGAAUACUAUAUCACCCAAAAGCAUGUAGUGAUGUCAGAAUCUCUAAUAGAAUUGAAAUUCACAAUGCAGGUUUAUUUUUGCAGCUACAGUACCUUCUUUUAUAACAACAGUUUGCGAUUACAAUAUAUUUAAUCACUUAAUGCUAUUUUGUUGUAGCUUUCUCAUCUUAGAAAACUUUUGACUUCCAUUUUACAUAGUAAUAAGCAAUUUUGUGGCUCAUUGUUUUCCACAACAAUGAACUCUUCUCGCUCUUUCUCAAUGAGACAACAACAUAUUCAUGUGAGCAAUUCGAAAGGUAAGUGCUCAAACUUCUACUAUCUGUUCCUUGGAUUUUUUAUCAUAUGAGAAUUAUAUUUUUUUUUCCUUAAUCCCUUUGUUACGGUGGUCUAUUUUUCUUUUAUAAUAUUUCUUAAGUCAAGAGGAAGACUUGAAAGUUGCACAGCUAAGAAAGAUUCUUUUUUAUUGAAAAGGUAAGUCGUCAACAAAGUACACAUUUUAGAGACAAGAUGUGGUUGAAAGAGUUUGGUUGUUGAAGUUGUCAAGCGAAUAUGAUUGAAAUAUACUCUACCACCCUUGUGUUAGAUGUUUAGACAUCAUAGACUUUUAAUUUCCGCCUAAGAGAGCAACCACCCUUAGGAAAUUAAAUUCUUUUCUUCCUUGUUUGUUCUUAAAAAUGGUACCUUUUUUCAAAUUCUUUAACGAAUGUUUGAUUAAUUUUUUUGCCCUUAAAGAUAGUGCAGAUCAUAUAGGAAACCAAGUUGUUACAAUGAAUCGUAAAAGCCAAAGCUGCUCAAAUUCAGUACUAAUUCAUAGAUGCUUCCUAUCUAUGUAGGAACUUUAUAUCUGAGAUUGACUAUCUAUUUGACUCAAGUAUUUAUCUUGUGUUAUAGCUUUACCUCUAUGGAAAAGGCUGAAAUACAUUUUGUUUAUGUAUUAUGUGAUCAAGAGAUGUUCUGUGUCUUGCCAUAUUCUUCCAAGUAAAUACCCUUAUUUAUCUUUAUUGAGUAUUCUUAAAAUAAAUUUCUACAAGAAUAGAUAGAUGAUGCUACACAACACACUUGACAAUAAACAUUCGGUUAUGAUUUCUAAGUUUACUAAUCAGAAUAUUGUCCAUGUAGGUAAAGGUUUUGCUACAGGAAAAAUAUGCCUAGAAAAAGUUGAAGUUAUUCAGCUCACCAAGUUUAAGGAAUAGUAGUUACCAUUGUCAUGCUCAACAUAAUAAUAUCUGGGAAAUUACAACUCUUCCUCUAUUCUAGGUAUGACUCCAUUCACUCUCAAAUUGACUGACUGAAAUGUUGGAUAAUUUGAUAAUCUAGAAUAAUUAGUUUCGUUACAGCAUGAAGUAUCAAACUUGGUCGUAUCUUAGUGUUUGGUUUGUAUCUCAAUUUGUGUUGUCAAAUAAUUGUCUCUGUUAUUUUUAAGAAAUGUUUAUUUAUUAUUAUACUGCUAGCUUUUUCCAAUUGUUUCUGAUCAGCUUAUUUACAUGAUUAAACUUGUGCUAAGUUGAUCUAUAACUAUAGUAAUAAAAUUAAGUUGUCUGAUACGCCUAUGGUACUAUGUGUGUUAUUAAAAAAGGAGAAUUUAAAAGGUUGCUUUCUGGAGCAAUAUCUAGACUAACUAAAGGAUCCAACUUUUCUGGCCUACAACAACAUCUCGGUAAAAUCUCAAUAAGUGGGGUUUGGGGAGGGUAGUGUGUACGCUGACCUUACCCCUAUCUCGAUGGGGCAGAGAGGCUGUUUUCGAUACGAUUGGUAUGAGUAGUACAAUUCUGCGGAUUAGUGAAUUUUGUUAAAUGACCAUUUUCAUUUAUUUGUUUGUUCCCUUAAUUGAUCAGGAAAUAAUGAAUGAAAUGUUGAGCAAUUGUGAGUUUUGUUAAAUGAUUGUUUUCAAUGUUUUCUCAGUUGUUGGGAUUCAUUUUAAUUGGUUUUAGUUGGUAGCUCCUUUCAGAAUAUAUUUACAUAUAGAAUUACUAAUUUGUUUUUCACUUGAUUUCAUCUUUUAACAUACAUUUAUUAUUAUUUCAGGUCAUACAUCAAUGAUGUCCAAACUUUUAGCAUUUGGAAGAAUUCAAUAUAAUGAAGAGUUGCGAAUAUUUAUUGUGGACUUACGUAUCUAUUAUUUUGUUAUUGUAGGCAUUCAAUAUGAUUAGUUGUAAUGAUAUUAGUUAUUUAAUUCAAAUAAUGUAAUUUUAUCUUUUAUGUCAUUGAUGCAUUAAUAAUAUAGAUUAGCACUUUUUUGUCUAGAUUUAGUGAAAUAUUAUGUUUUUUGUGAAUUA